Molecule: long non-coding RNA, 536 nt
Filed under: Populus tremula
Lineage: Eukaryota; Viridiplantae; Streptophyta; Magnoliopsida; Malpighiales; Salicaceae
Description: long non-coding RNA (PTRE_LNC000977)
Source: RNAcentral
CGUACUUGGAGAUGUCAAAGCUGCUGGUCUUGAAGAGGGUAAAGUAGAAAGAUGCAAUGUGUUUGAAAUUGUAACUGAAGGUGAUUCUGUUUCUGGAUUGGGGGAGGAAAAUCUCUUGAGGGAGCCAAAAGCAACACCUGAAUCUGCUGUCAAUGUCGAAUCCUGUUUUACCUCAGAGAAUGAUAUUAAUGUGUGUGAGGGAAAGUUGCCACAACUUGCUAGUAUUCCCUCUGAACAAGCUGAUCAAAGGAACAACGUACUUGGAGAUGUCAAAGCUGCUGGUCUUGAAGAGGGUAAAAUAGAAAGAUGCAAUGUGUCUGAAAUUGUAACUGAAGGUGAUUCUGUAUCUGGAUUGGGGGAGGAAAAUCUCUUGAGGGGGCCAAAAACAACACCUGAAUCUGCUGUCAAUGUCGAAUCCUGUUUUAUCUCAGAGAAUGAUAUUAAUGUGUGUGAGGGCAAGUUGCCACAACAUGAACACACAGAUAUAGGUGGAGUUUUGGAUCCUCAGGAAAGCAGAAAGGAACCUGAAAGCAAUG